AUUGAACGCUGGCGGCAUGCCUUACACAUGCAAGUCGAACGGCAGCACGGGUGCUUGCACCUGGUGGCGAGUGGCGAACGGGUGGGUAAUACAUCGGAACGUACCUUAUCGUGGGGGAUAACGCAGCGAAAGCUGUGCUAAUACCGCAUAAGCCCUGAGGGGGAAAGCGGGGGAUCGAAAGACCUCGCGCGAUUAGAGCGGCCGAUGCCUGAUUAGCUUGUUGGUGGGGUAAAAGCCCACCAAGGCGACGAUCAGUAGCUGGUCUGAGAGGACGAUCAGCCACACUGGGACUGGGAAACGGCCCAGACUCCUACGGGAGGCAGCAGUGGGGAAUUUUGGACAAUGGGGGCAACCCUGAUCCAGCAAUGCCGCGUGAGUGAAGAAGGCCUUCGGGUUGUAAAGCUCUUUUGUCAGGGAAGAAACACCGGCUCUAACACAGUCCGGGAAUGACGGUACCUGAAGAAUAAGCACCGGCUAACUACGUGCCAGCCGCCGCCGUAA
Molecule: ribosomal RNA, 501 nt
Filed under: uncultured bacterium
Lineage: Bacteria
Description: partial 16S ribosomal RNA
Rfam family: Bacterial small subunit ribosomal RNA
Source: RNAcentral